RNAcentral lists this ribosomal RNA (211 nucleotides) under Klebsiella pneumoniae. RNAcentral describes it as "partial 23S ribosomal RNA". It matches the Rfam family "Bacterial large subunit ribosomal RNA", at positions 1452 to 1665 of the family's 2925-position model. Lineage: Bacteria; Pseudomonadati; Pseudomonadota; Gammaproteobacteria; Enterobacterales; Enterobacteriaceae. The record is from RNAcentral.
UACUGCGAAGGGGGGACGGAGAAGGCUAUGUUAGCCGGGCGACGGUUGUCCCGGUUUAAGCAUGUAGGCUGGUUGUCCAGGCAAAUCCGGAUAAUCAAGGCUGAGAUGUGAUGACGAGGCACUACGGUGCUGAAGUAACAAAUGCCCUGCUUCCAGGAAAAGCCUCUAAGCAUCAGGUAACAUUAAAUCGUACCCCAAACCGACACAGGUG